Patella vulgata (common limpet) is the source of this 682-nucleotide long non-coding RNA. RefSeq lists it as uncharacterized. The transcript is spliced from 7 exons. The record is from RefSeq and is a predicted model, not a curated record. Lineage: Eukaryota; Metazoa; Mollusca; Gastropoda; Patellidae.
UAACAUAUCACGGUACAGGUUACAGCACAGAGAGUAGACAACGUAUCGUCUAUUAGGUCGUGUAGUAAACCAGAAAUACGUUAUAGUUUUUACGAUAUUGUGGCCUAUAGAUACUUUAGGAAUGCUACUGUUAUUAUAUAUAGCCGCCAUUGUACUGUGGACGCCAUGUGACAGUGAAAUAUACAGGGACACAAGGAACGUAUAUCCUUAUCGUCGGUAUCUCGAUGAUGUGGAUGACGACGGUGUGGACAGUCGCAAUUUUGAUAGCCGGGCCUUAGAUGAUGACGGUGUGGACAGUCGCUAUUUUGAUAGCUGGGCCUUGGAUGACAGUCCUAAUGAUCGUGACGACAACAUGGAUGAAGAUAUGAAUAGGGAUCAUGGUGGUAUUCCCAUGGGACCCAGUGAGGGCUGUGAUGACGGAAAAACUAAUGUUGAAGUAGACUGGGACCCUAAGUCGAGUGCUGAAUAUACCUGUGAUCCUGGAGUGGUAUUAAAAAAAGAUGCAAAAUAUGAACCUAAAAUGGUCUGUGAAAAAAGACCUAAAUCACCAUUACACAUCUGUAUAAAAGACAGGAUAACGUACCAUGAAUACUUACCAAUAAGUGGUUCUCAUCGUCCAGUAUGGCCAACAUUUGGGACUUAUCGUUACCUACCUCCUCAAAGAUGGUUACAUGGACUCGAG